AACGAACGCUGGCGGCAUGCCUAACACAUGCAAGUCGAACGAGAUCUUCGGGUCUAGUGGCGCACGGGUGCGUAACGCGUGGGAAUCUGCCCUUUGGUUCGGAAUAACAGUUGGAAACGACUGCUAAUACCGGAUGAUGACGAAAGUCCAAAGAUUUAUCGCCAGAGGAUGAGCCCGCGUAGGAUUAGCUAGUUGGUGUGGUAAAGGCGCACCAAGGCGACGAUCCUUAGCUGGUCUGAGAGGAUGAUCAGCCACACUGGGACUGAGACACGGCCCAGACUCCUACGGGAGGCAGCAGUGGGGAAUAUUGGACAAUGGGCGAAAGCCUGAUCCAGCAAUGGCGCGUGAGUGAUGGAGGCCUUAGGGUUGUAAAGCUCUUUUACCCGGGAGGAUAAUGACAGUACCGGGAGAAUAAGCUCCGGCUAACUCCGUGCCAGCCGCCGCCGUAA
This 449-nucleotide ribosomal RNA is filed under the name uncultured bacterium. Its description in RNAcentral is "partial 16S ribosomal RNA". It matches the Rfam family "Bacterial small subunit ribosomal RNA", at positions 29 to 523 of the family's 1533-position model. The record is from RNAcentral.